UCCAAUCAGGUGAACAAGGUGCCUCCAGC
RNAcentral lists this non-coding RNA (29 nucleotides) under Rattus norvegicus (Norway rat). Lineage: Eukaryota; Metazoa; Chordata; Mammalia; Rodentia; Muridae. The record is from RNAcentral.